UAUAUAUAUAUAUAUAUAUACUUUAUGCGCGACCGUGAAUGAUGCGCAGAUGUGGUGUUGUCAAUUUAAUUUCGCUAUAAAAAAAUAUGUCAUUUAUUCUCUCUCAAUUUUCGCAUUUUUUAAAAUAUUUCUGUGUGAAAAAUUUUUCAAAUUAAAAUCUCCCUCGCCGCUCUCUCUCGCUCUCGUCGUCUUCAGCGUCCAUCAGACCUCGCACCUCCCACUGGGAAAGUUUCACCGGCGUCUUCAAUCUCACAGUUGUUGUGAGAGCUUACCACCUCUUUCCAUUCUCACUGGGAUGACGGCAUCUACAAACACCUGUAGGCUACAACCACAUUUGCGCGUUAGUUGCUACACGUUGUAGCAGCUAUAAACAUGAAGCAGUCACUUGCGCCUUGCUUCGCUUCUAAACGUUGCAGCAACUACUUCGCAGCAAAUUGUCCAUGUAGCUGCUACAACUUGUAGCAGCUAACUUGGAAUGACGGUCGUAAAAGGAAGGAAGGAUUUAUGCUACGACAUGCAAGGCCAACGGUUGAUACAAACGCCUGCAGCCACUUGGACUUUCCUUUCCUACUACUAGUUAUAGCAGCUACUUUGAAAGUUAAUUGCUACAUAUUGUAGCAGCUACAUCGACAGGUAACUGCUACACUUUGUAGUAGUUAACUCUCCAUGUAGCUGCUACAACGUGUAACAGCUACUUCGGCAGGUAACUGCUACACCUUGUAACAACUAACUCUCCAUGUAGUUGCUACAACAUGUAGCGACUACUUCGACAGGUAACUGCUACACCUUGUAGCAACUAACUCUCCAUGUAGUUGCUACAACUUGUAGCAGCCGCUCGAUAAGUCGUGUUUUUACUAGCUAUAUUUUCUCACAGAUAUUAACCAUAAAAAUACUUGUUAAAAAAAUUAUUUAAAAAUAUUUAUGCUGCUGCAGUGUCUUUGCUUUGCUGCUAUACGUUGUAGCAGCUACUUUGACUAAUAACUACUACUCUUUGUAGCAGCUAACUUGAAAUGAUGAAGCUGCUACAACGUGUAGCAGUUAUUUCUUCAU
Molecule: long non-coding RNA, 1050 nt
Organism: Zingiber officinale
Lineage: Eukaryota; Viridiplantae; Streptophyta; Magnoliopsida; Zingiberales; Zingiberaceae
Exons: 3
Source: RefSeq, a predicted model, not a curated record